UACGGGGGGGGCAAGCGUUGUUCGGAAUCACUGGGCGUAAAGCGCACGUAGGCGGCUUCUUAAGUCAGGGGUGAAAUCCUGGAGCUCAACUCCAGAACUGCCCUUGAUACUGAGGAGCUCGAGUCCGGAAGAGGUGAGUGGAACUCCGAGUGUAGAGGUGAAAUUCGUAGAUAUUCGGAAGAACACCAGUGGCGAAGGCGGCUCACUGGUCCGGUACUGACGCUGAGGUGCGAAAGCGUGGGGAGCAAACAGG
Molecule: ribosomal RNA, 253 nt
Filed under: uncultured bacterium
Lineage: Bacteria
Description: partial 16S ribosomal RNA
Rfam family: Bacterial small subunit ribosomal RNA
Source: RNAcentral